UACGGGGGGGGCAAGCGUUGUUCGGAAUUACUGGGCGUAAAGGGCUCGUAGGCGGCCAACUAAGUCAGACGUGAAAUCCCUCGGCUUAACCGGGGAACUGCAUCUGAUACUGGAUGGCUUGAGUUCGAGAGGGAUGCGGAAUUCCAGGUGUAGCGGUGAAAUGCGUAGAUAUCUGGAGGAACACCGGUGGCGAAGGCGGCAUCCUGGACCGACACUGACGCUGAGGAGCGAAAGCCAGGGGAGCAAACGGG
RNAcentral lists this ribosomal RNA (251 nucleotides) under uncultured bacterium. Its description in RNAcentral is "partial 16S ribosomal RNA". It matches the Rfam family "Bacterial small subunit ribosomal RNA", at positions 524 to 776 of the family's 1533-position model. The record is from RNAcentral.